Molecule: long non-coding RNA, 1429 nt
Organism: Tympanuchus pallidicinctus (lesser prairie-chicken)
Lineage: Eukaryota; Metazoa; Chordata; Aves; Galliformes; Phasianidae
Exons: 2
Source: RefSeq, a predicted model, not a curated record
GGUGGCUUGGGGUCUCCAAAGAGGUCUGGUGGGCACUUGCCCAACCUCCAACCUGGGGAGAAAUCACAUCUCUUCCAAGCCAGGUGGGAACAAGAAGCUUUUUUCCAACCUCUCCAUCGCAUUGCUGGGGUCACCGUGCUCCCCUCAACCCCACAUCUAUAGGGCCAGCCCUCCUCAGGUGCUGGCAUCGCAUGGUCUGGAUAGGAGGGGCCCGCAGGAGCACCCCGUUACAUUUUGAGGUGCCCAGAGGAGCUGAGCCUUUGGUGCAGGAAUGGAGUGGGGUGGGCAGCCCCAUCUCUGAGGUAAAGGAAGAAUUGGGUUCCUCCACCACAGAGCGUGGGGUGGAAGUGCUGCUCCCACCCAGACGAUGAGGAGCGGAGUGGUGGAUGGGGACGGGGGCCGCCAUGGCUUGGUGGGAACAAGAGAUGUGUCCGCAGCACACGGCUCUGUCACUCCAUCAGCUGAGCGCCGGGUGCCUUGGAGGGGGAUGCACAAAGCCGUCGCCACCCCCUGGUGAGGAAAAACCUGUGGGUUCCUCACUGCCAUUCCUCCCCUUCCGUCUCCUUGGAGGAGGACGUUGGCCAUGGGUCCCAACAGGAGGAGGGUGUUGGUCACGGGUCCCAAAGGGAGAAGGAUGUUGGCUGUAGGUUCCAACGGGAGGAGGACGUUGGUCCUGGUCCCAGUAGGAGGAUGAUGCUGGCCCUGGUCCCAGCGUUGUCACCAGAGGUCACGCUGCCGACACGCUGCCGUUCACUUCACUGCACACACAGAGCACGCACAGCACGUGGGUUUCUCCGAAGGUCUUCCCCAUCCACUCUCCAUAGGCUCAAUUCCUUCCAACGAAACGCGGCGCCGUGUUUUUAAGUACGGUUUCAUCUCACCGAACGUCACCACGGUUUCGGAUCGUCCUGAAGGUCCGGGAGGGAUUUGGGUCCCCAGAAAAAAGGGCUGUGGGGAUUUUGGGUCAGGACUCAGCCAUGGAGCGGUGGGGCCGUGGUUGGACAGCCCCCACGCGAGGGGUGGCAAUGGGGACACAGCUGGGGACACGGCGUCCUGCAGGAGGUGACACUGGGACUGUGCCCCUCACUGCUGGCACCCAGUGGAGCUUUGCAGUGUCACCACAUCCCCGGUGUCCCCUCCCGAAGCACGAGGGCUGCAUUGGCCCCAUGGCCACCGCGUGCCACCAGAGCACCGGGACGGGGACGCGGGGCACUGAACUCUCAAUAGACCACGAAAGCCAUAUUAGCGCGGAGCUCUGAGCGCCGUGGGGCGGCCGUGGGGCGGAGGACGGGCUGUGUUGUUGUGCUGUGUUCUUGUAUGUACAUAAAGGGAGACAACGAACGUCGGUGUUACUUUAUAACCUUUCUAAUAUCCUGUGCUAAUCUCGGAGAAAUAAUCCUAUGAAAUAUAUCUGGAUUACACACCUUCA